UGCAACGUGCUGGAAGAUUGUAUAAUGUCGGUUGAGUGCUCCAUCUCUUCUUGAGUGACUUAACUUUGCUGCGGUUGUAUCAGUGGUAAAUUGGUAAUUACAUGUAUUGUUAUUUGGCCAAGCAAACUAAAGAAUUCAUUGAAAACAUGAAUGCAAGGGAUAAGCUAAUUAAAGUAUUAGUGAGAGAAAACGUACAUUAGCUACAUAAUUUUUCUCAAUACAAUUAUUUAGGAGCAUAUAUAUAAAUGUUUAAAUUCAAGUAAAAAUCAAGUUGUUAAUUCUUAUUGAUCGGUUAUGUUCGAAAAUAUGGUUGAUGAUUAUUUUUUAAAAUGUUUUUUACUUGAAAAAUAAUGUUUUUUUAUUUAAAAAAAAAUUAUUUUUGAUAUCAUUAUAUUAAAAUUAUCUUAAAAUACUAACAAAAAAUAUUAAUUUAAAAAAAUUAAUUGUUUUCAAAAAUAUUUUUAAAUAAUAAAAUAACAGGUCAAAUUCCAAUUAAGGCAUUCUUUUAUAACCAGGUCCAACAAUAACUAAGGGUUUGUGUAUUGUAUUUACAAAUAAAAUAAUGUUUUAUGACUUUUAAUAUAUUUUCUAACAGUAUUAUAUAAAUUAAUAAAUUAUAUACAUAAAUAUAUCAAGUUAAUAUAAAUUUUAUUAGCGCAAACAACUGAUGCAAGUUUGUUAAGAAUUUGAAUAGACAAGUAUUGUGCGUGUACAGUGAUGAGUUAAUUAAAAUCCAAAGUGCACAGUGUUAAGUGAUUGAAAUUGUAAGACCGGGGAAGAGAAGAGACUUACCUGGUAGUUCUGGAGAUGAGGACGUGAUGGAGGACUGGUCGACUAGUUAUUGUCUUCCUCUGCUUUCACCUCUGUUUAUAAAGAGUUGUUAUAAACUGUGAAUGUUAUUGACUGCAUCGCGAAUUACGGUAGAAAUGUUUUUCUCGUGUUUUGGGUUUGAUAAUUGCUAAAAGCACUCUAGUUAGGGAGACAUAAAGAUUGGGGCUAGUCUUGCCACCGAAAGUUGUAAAGAAUACAGCUGGCGGAGUUGUCUUUUUAUAUAGAUAGAAAAUGACCAGUUUGAAUUUUGGUGAAGUAGGACGACCAGGCUGCAGAUAUCUACUGCUCGGCACGAUCCAGAUAAGAAACAGCUGGCGUAAGGGCCAGUCAGCAAGCUCAUUAGUACCGGACUACUAACACUUUUCGUGAACGGCGGAGCUAAACUGUUACUAAUCCUGGUUGUAAAGCUAAGUUAGAGCUUGAAAAUUCUUACUUGAUCGUGAUGGUUUUGCACUCUUGUGAUUUUUUAUUUAAAUUUCUUUUUAAAAUCUAAGCUAAAACCCGAUGUUGCUGAGAAGAGAUAAUAAAAAUCCCAUGGUGCUUCUCUAGUAUUAAUAAAGAUAAAAUAGUGGAUCUUAAUAAAUGAUAGAAGAAAAAAAUAUUUUUAAAGAGUAGGUUUUACAAAAAAAACAAAAGGGAAAAUCUUUAUUUCUUACUUUAGUAGAUAUAUUUGUAGGAGACAGCGCCCUCUCCUGGGGUUCGGGGCGGAGCCCCGUUUUUUUUUUUUUUUAUAGAGCUCCAAAUAAAAUUUAGUUAAAAUAAUAAAAACACAACUAAAAUUAACCUUGCAAAAAUAUAUAGGACUUAACGACAGUAUGAUUCUCACAGAAAAGGAACAAACAAAUAAAAGCUCUUAGCAUUAGUUGCACUUGCAAUCUUAAACCAAAGAUCAGCACACUCCUUUCCAAUUGGACCGGUAAUUGCUGAGCCUUCAUUUUUCCUUUGGGGUUCACAAUGACACUAGUAUUAUCUUCAAAAUACAUGAAAUAUCAAGUAGGGGGGUUUAACUAAUUCAACUAAUAUAUAAAUAUCAAGUAGGGGGGGUUUAACUACACAUAUAAAAAAUAAUAUUUUCAAUCUUUUCCUUUUUCAUUCUAUAUUUGUCUUGACUUUUGACAUGUGAACACUGAACACUUUAUCGAGGGAUAAAAGUAUUUCUUUUGUAUAAAAGGGAUGUGCAUUUUUUCCACAUGCUUUUGCAUAAAGGGACCUGCUUUUCUUUUAUCUACUUGGUUUCAUGUAUUUUCCGGGCUAUUUUGGUUUUUUUACGAGUUGGUGGAAAUCUUGUUGGCUAGUAUCAUUAUUUUACACUUGGACAUGGCUGGAAUUCUUGCCAUUUAGACUAAUCAAUUUAUCAUUCAUCUUUUUCACUUUGUUGUUGUUGAUAUCAGCUUGCUCUUCACAAGAAACAAAAUUGGAUUAUUGGUUUUUUUUUAAUUUUUUUCCUUAAUUAACCGAAUCCAAAUAAGUUGCCUUGAACUGGCGGUUUGGUUUUAUUUUUAAAUUAAAAAUAAAUAAAAAUUCAGUUUGGUUGGUUUUUUAAGUAAAAAUUAAACUGAAAAUGCUCACCUCUACAUGUAGUUCUGGAGAUGAAUAUGUGAUGGAGGACUGGUCGACUAGUUACUUGCUUCCUCUGCUCUCACCUGUGUUCUUGCUUUUCUCUGAUCGGUUUCUUCCUGUCCGUCCCGUGUUCUGCGUGUGUUUCGUUCUCCUGUGGCCUUCUGUUUUUGCUCGUCUUCUCUGUAUUAUCUCUGUUCUUGCGUCUGUGUUUUUGUUUGUGGUCUUUGGUCCAGUGUUCUCUGUGUAUUAUCUGCGUCUCCUCUCUGUCCGGUCGUCUUUGUUUUUCCUGGGUUUUUUUCGUUCGUUCGUCCUCUUCGUCCUUCCCCUUCCUCCUGGAGGCCUUUCUUCCUCUGGCUUUAUAGCCAGAGAAUGCCAUACGUUUCAGUAACGUAUUGCAUCGUGGGCAGCUGAGGCGUUGAGGCGUUGAGGAAGAUGAACAGCUCGUCUGGAAACGGCGCCGUUGAUUUUCUGUCGGUUUGGUCACUGAAGUGUGGAGAUUUCACAAUCAAGCCCCUUAAUCAGGAAAUUCCUUCCACUUGUUUUUUAAUUUCGCCCCCUGGAUAAAUUGUAAUUAAACCUCUGGAUUUUAGCAUCUUUUACUAAACAGUCCUUAGUUUCUGAAUGUUUCAAUUCAGUCCUUAAUUAAUUUUUCAACUUUUAAUUAUUUCAAAAUUAUCCCUGGAAAAAUCAAUUAAGCUCCCUAGAGUAACCCCUGCAUUUUCACUUUGAUCCUUGGACUUUAAUUCCUUACAAUUUGAACCCAAAUCAGCCCCCAAACUUUGGUAUUUUUUCAAUUUAGUAUUCACUCUUUUAAUAGUUUUAUUUUUUGAGUUUUUUUUGUUAAAUUGAAUUUUGUUUUCAAUUUUACCUUUCAAUAAAAAAAUAUUUUUUAUUUUAAUUUAAUUUUCAUGUUUUCAAUUGCUAUUUUUUUUUUAACUUUUAACAUUUUAUUGGUGGGGAAUUAUACUAUUUGUUUUUUAUUCAAUCUCAUGCUUUUAUAUUCAAUGAGUCGAGAAUUGAGUCACAUCAUUUAUUUAUUUUUAAAAUAAAAAUUUUUUCAAGUUAUUAUAAUUUUUUUUUAAUUUGUUUUAUAUGCUUAAGCUCAUUAUUUAUUUAUUUUUUCUCUGGUUUCAAUCUUCCAUAUUAGGUUUGCUCGGAACCAAGCUCUUAUACCUUUUUUUUUCCUUUUUUUGUUGAUGUUUAUUAUAAGUUAUCAUUUAAACUUUUUUUUAUUUGAUUCAAUCUAUAAUCUAUUUACCGUUGUUUUUUUUUAUCAUUUAAUUAAAUGUUAUCAGCUUAUCUGACUUUGUCACAAAGAUUUUUAACUUUUUUAGAGCACAAUUGCAAUAUUUGAACAAUUUUAUUAGCUAAUAUUUUUUUUUUCAUUUAACUUGUUGCAUAGCGUUGGGCUAUGGAUUUAGUAAUCACUACCACUUGUUUAAUUAGGAUCAGUGAAAGCUAAUUUUUAGUCAUCACUUCUUGUUUCUUUUUUUAUUGUUUAAUAAAAGUAGUUCAUUCCUUGAAUUAUAACGAAACUAUUUUAUAAUUAUGCAAAAAAAUUUUUUUCCUUUUUCUUGUUAUAUCGUAAUUACGAUAUUUAAUCUAUUUUUGUGUAACAUUGUUAAGCCAUUAUUUGUUAAUUAUUUUUUUUAACUUCAACCAUUAUUGUUUUUUCCCCUAGCAUUUUAGAAAACACCCUAGAGAUCGGAAAAACAAAAAGAGUAUGUUAUAUUAACAGCUCCAUGCCCGUGUAAUGCUUGUGCUAGCAGAUAGGUGGCGCUAGCUCCAUUUGGGUGGUAUUUUUUAGCGACCUAACACUAGUUUUUAUUGUGUCAUUAGAAGUACUGCAGUAUACUUUUUUUUUAAGGACGACACGUGGUAUUAUUGAGGUAGCGGUGGGAUGUUGAUUUACUUUUUUUCUCAUCCUAGUUUACUUUUUUUUUUUUUUGAAAAUCAUGUUGAUCAUGUGAAAUUUCAAAGUUAUUUUCUAAUUCAUUGAGAUGUCAAAUUUAUUAUUUAUUUUUGAUCUUGGUCAUUUUGUGAAAUUUUGAGUUAUUUUUAAUUUUAUCCUUCAAUCUUAAUUUGUUAUAUAUUAUAUUUUUUUAAUUUAAUCGUCAUUCUUUUGAUAGUUUUAUUUUUUGAAUUCUUUUAUUAAAUUGAAUUUUCUUUUCAAUUUUACCCUUCAAUCAAAAAUAAAAUUUAUUUUUAAUUUUAAUUUUGAUUCUCAUUUCUUCAAUUAUUAUUAUUUUUUAUCUUUCUGUAUAAUUGAUUUUUCUUUUUUUCUUUUUUAAAUUUUAACAUUUUAAUUAGUUGAGAAUUAUAUUAUUUUUUUAUUUUAUAUUUAAUGGGUUGGGAAUUGAUUCACAUCAUUUAUCGUCUUUUGAAAUAAUAUUUUUUUCAAGUUAUCAUGAUCAUUUUUUCUUAAUUUGUUCUAUAUACUCUAGCUCAUUGUUUAUUUUUAUUAUUAUUUAAUUAAAAUAAAACAAAUCUAUUUAUAGUCUAGUCUAUAACUGGUCUAUCAUUCAUUUUUCUCUAUGCUUUAGAACAUUAUGUUUUAUAUGAAAGAAAAGGAAUCCAACCCCGCAUCAUAGCUCAGGUCCACGACUAGUACAUACUAUAUUUAUCAAAAACGCACGCGAUUAGUUGUUGUCAAACUAUUUAGUGCUAAGAAUUCGAAAGUCAAGUACCCUGCAACAUGGAAGAACUCUGAAGAGACACACCAGUGACAUGUAUGUUCUGCUCUAUAUAUAACCAAAGUCGUUACAAGAGAGAAGAGAAAGAGCUUAAUAUCUAUUUGUUACAAGAGAUACAAAUUAGAAAAGAAGACAAAAUACUGAUUUUGCAUUUGAAACUAUCAAUCUAAAGGAAAAAAAAUAUUGGAUAAGAACAAAACAGACUUGGGAUGUGAUGAUGACUAUGAAAGAUCUAGUGUCUUCUUGCCGCGUCAUUGCCAGGAUGAAUGUAAAUGCUAAACCCAUGCAGAGAAGGGAGUAAAAAUUAAGAGAUGUCGCCUUCUCCAUGCUUGAUGUUACAUCACUGGCACGACCUAAUGAUAUCUGACAAAGGAUUAUAGCGGCGAUGAGGGAGCAAUUCAUAGCUAGCAUGUCAAAACAAAUAUAUAAACUCAUCAUAUUUUUUGACCAAUCACUGCUAAGAUCAGAACCUGAUCCAGGCACAGUGAUAGCACCAGCGAAGGUUACUCCAGCUACCAGUACUGCCACCACGAGAAGAUUCCCUACCCCUCUGUUCAGUUCCUCCGUCGUUAACGUCGUUCUUGGUAAAUCACACUCAGUCUUAUCAUCUGCCUCCACCAAAACUUUAAAUACCUUACGCUGAACAACAAAGUGUUAAUUAGAAAAUAUAUGGAUUUAAUUGGAGAAUUGAUAAGUUUUGAGACUUAAUUAAACUUGUAAUUAAUUUAAUUAAUCCAAUAAGGGGCUUAAUUGGAAAAGCGAUAAGUGUUAGACUUAAUUGGACUUUGGAUUUAAUGAAAUUAGGGACGUAAUUGAAGAAAUAGCAAAGUUUGGGGUUAAUUGGGGGCACGAUUGAAACAGAGUAAAGUCCAAGAACUAACUGGUAAAAGGCGCCGAAAUGUCUGGGAAAUUACAGUUUAAACCAGGGGUUUAAUUACAAGACUCGAAACUGCACAGGUCAAAAUGUAAAAUGGCCACAUUUCACAUCUCAAGACGGCGCCGUUUUAAGAGACACUGUUCGUCUUCUUCAAAACUAGAAACGAACACUGCACGAUCCUUAGUCCCUCAUUAUUUCUGCAAACGGUCGGUCACCUCAUUAUUUAGGGGUGACCGCAUGGCAUUCUCUGGCUAUAUAAAAGCUAGAGAUAGGUCAUGCACGGGGGGGGGGUGAAACAAAAAAAGACGGGACGAAGAGAGACAGAACCAGGGGAAAAUUUUGGCCCCUCAACCAGUAGCAAAUCCUCGUGCUUUUACCACUAUUGUCUUCGUCUUGAACGCAGAAGACUGGGCAGAGACACAAAAAAGGAAGAGAAACUGAGGAGAACAGGAAAAGGACAGGGAAACGAACAAGAUAGAGGAGAGCAAAUUUUCUGCCCCUGUUUCUUCUCAAAGGAACAGAGGCUGUCCUCUGGCUUUAUAAAAGCCAGAGAAGGCCACGGAGGAAAAAGGGGAUCACUGCCUUCUCCAUCUCCAACACUAGAGAUGGAAGACGGAGAGAAAAACAAAGAGACGAUAAAGGGAGAGGACGAACAAAAAAACACAGGGAGGAACAGAGACCGGAGAGGAAAAACAAAGAAAUCACAGAAGGGAGAUUAAAGAGAAAACAGAGGUAAAUAACGAACAAACACUAAGGGGCUGACUGAAGCAAGCUUCAACGGGGAGAGGAAUGAAAAAACAAUGAGGGGCUGACUGAAGAAAGCCUCAACAGGAGAUUGAACACGAAGAAAAGUCAGGGGAAGGAGAGUACUAGACAGAGAAAUAAAAAACAGAUACAGAGAGAGAGAGAGAGGGAGAGAAUCCUGAGAGCAGAAGAAAGCAAGAGAAAAAGCAAAAGAAGGGAAAUAAAUUUUUUAUAUGUUUUCUUUUAUUCUAUAGGUUUUGACAAUUUAAAAAAUCUUUUUAAAUGAGUAUUGAUUGUUCCUAUAUUUGCAAUUAGUAGAAGCUUGAUGCUUGAUUCUUCUUUAUCUCUCUAUACGACCCAUGACCAAUCGUUUUCUUUUGAAGUUAGAUUUGUACUCUUGAGGAUGAAUGAAGGAAUGGGUAUACACAAGAGUUAAAAGGUUGACAACACAAGUAGUCAAUAUUAGAAAAAAAAUUGAGGAUAAAGAGCGAAACCUCAUUCUACAAGCCAUUGGUGCAAACAAUACUAGUUAAAAGGAUAACUUUAGGUUUAAUCUUACUGGAUAGAAUAAAAGGUUUUGAAAGGUAACGAGGCAUUGGUGAUCGAUGGAAGGUAAUCUAGGAAAUAAAAUUAUGAUUGUCAUGGGAGGAACAUGGCAUAAGGAGGUAGAUUUGGUAUAAAUAACUCUAUUUGAGAUUCUAGAUCUAGAGUGGAAUACAAUGAUAAGAAAUAUUUUUAUUGUCAUUGCAAAUGUCAUAUAUAAUCCAAUUUUUGAUCAUUUUAUUGCAUAGAGAGUCACUCAAGAAGAGAGUGGAAUAUUUUUAUUGCCAAUAUUGCAAAGGCCAUGUUUGGCAUCAUUGUGACAAGAUGAAAGCCGCCUUAGAAGAAUUACGAAGUCUAGAGAUGUUACGAAUACGAUGAAAUAUGGGAGCAAAGAUGAUGAUAUUCUCAUGGAUCAUAAAUGUAAUAAGGUUUUGAAAAAUUCAUGGAUUGUAGAUUUUGCAUGCUCCUUUCAUAUUUAUUUAAAGAAAGAAUGUUUUGAUCCUUACAAAGAAUAUGAUGGAGCAAUGAAAACCCUUUGUGAUGUUAGUCACAUGCCAAGACUUCAAAGAAAGAAAGAAAGUUUCUGAAACCGAAAAUCUUACCAUUUUGCGAACUUCUGCUUCCUGCGAUUUGUUCCAUACACCUCUCGCAGCAUCAUCCCCAUGCUUGGUAUCGAUUCGCUUGCUCUGAUCAAGGACAAGCAAAGACAGUAUUAAUUUGUAAGUAUACAUUCGAAACUGAAAUCAGUUUUUGUAAUGUUAAAGGUUGUCCUUUUCAUUAUCAUUUUUUGCAAGUAUAUAUGAUGAUUGAUUUGGAGUAUGAUCCCCCGUGAUGUUCAAGAGCAAUUGCAAGCCCAUUAAUUGGCACCAUAAGGUCAGUUUUUCGAAAAGGCUCAGCAUAUAAGCAUACCAUUCCAUCUGACUUUGGUGCAUCAAAGCGUCCGCCUCGCAAUAAUUUCGCAAAAACACCAGAUGGUUUCAACUUUUCAUUAUUAACAAUCCUUUUAUCCACCCGCAUGUCACUCGCUAGUGCCUGCACUAUCUCAGAACGGCAAUACAUUGCAGCCAAGUGCAAAGGUGUAUUUCCAUCGUAAUCCUUCUCAUUUAUAAGUGCUUCCAGAUCUCGAUUUCCCAAUAUUUCAUCCACUAUUCUCAUCUGUCCACUCUUCGCUGCAACGUGAAGAAUAUUCUGUCCUUUUUCGUUGAGAAAAUCCAUUGGAUCGAACCAAUAAGUAAGUAGUUCGCGUACUACUUCAAGAUGCCCCUUCUGGCAUGCAUCAUGGAUGGGUAAGUUGCCUUCUUCGUUGCUUUGUGAAGCGGCAACAGGACAUCGACUAACCAGGAGUCUUGCUCCAGAAAGGAAGCCCAUGGAUGCUGCAAGAUGAAGGAGAUUUCCCCCUUUUAUGUCCUCGGGAAGCAUUAUAUCCGGCUUGCCGACCGCUAGUUUUUCUAGUGCAGCAUAAUUUAAAAAUGAGAUAAUCAAUACAAAAAACACAAAAUGCAUGGAAAUAACUUGAAUUUUAUGCUUUACAUAAAAUGAAAUCAUGAAGAAUCAGUUUUAAUGAGACCAAUAAUUAUAAGAGUAACAUGUUAUUUUUCACUUCGAAAUGAUGAAAACAUGUCAUUACCUAAAUUUCCUUCCGGCAUAGCUUCUAUAAAAGAAGCAAGCAUCUCCCCGUCGCAACUCUCUACUGCCAAGUACAAGGGAGACUUGUCUUCCUUGUUCUUGUGGUAGGAAACUUCUAGGUCUUCAUUAACGAGGAAACAGGCCACCUCUCGGCAACCCUUGAUGACUGCAUCAUGCAAUGGGGUGUUUCCUUUAUUAUUCUUCAUCCUCAGCAAGCUAGCAAGUUCAAGUGUUCUAUGAUGAAUUUUCACAUGCUCGACGAGAUUUUGAAUUUUGUCAAACCGUACAGCCCUGGCAGCCAGAUGAAGCGCAUUAUCACCCAGGAAAUUUUUCCUGGUGAUUAGGAGGGGGAAGUGAUGACACAGUAGCUGUAUCACACCUUCGCUUCCAUGGCUUGCUGCCACAUGAAGCAGUGAAUUUCCAGAGGCAGCAACAUGUUUGAAAAUGAUACUGAGCACUUCCAGUUCAUUGGACAAGAGAUGAAACAAGGCAUUGAAGUUGUCUUCCUUUGCAUAGAUAUAAAACUCCCUCUGCAGUAUUUUAUUUGGCUCAGAAAAACCAUACUCUGCAAUCGGAACUGGGAAUUUAACUGCCUUCCAUCGUUCAAGCUCCUCAUUUACUGGUCUCGGCAUAUCUAUUUGUAAUUGCAUAGAGGGUUGCAACGUGCUGGGAGAUUGUAUAAUGUCGGUUGAGUGCUCGAUCUCUUCUUGAGUGACUUGACUUUGCUGCGGUUGUAUCAGUGGUAAAUUGGUAAUUACAUGUCUUGUUAUUUGGCCAAGCAAACUAAAGAAUUCAUAGAAAACAUGAAUGCAAGAAAUAUGCUAAUUAAAGUAUUAGUGAGAGAAAACGUACAUUAGCUACAUAAUUUCUCGAAAUACAAUUAUUUAGGAGCAUAAUGUCAAAAUUAAACUGUUAACGCGUUGUCGAUUUUUUCAAGUAAAAGUUUUUUUUAUAUAUUUACAUCCAAAAAUAACUACGGGUUUGUGUAUUGUAUUUAUAAAUAAAAUAAUAUUUUACGACUUUUAAUAUAUUUUCUAAUAGUAUUAUAUAAAUUAAUAAACUAUAUGCACAAAUAUAUCAAAUUAAUAUAAUUGUUUUUAGCCGCAAACAACUGAUGCCAGUUUGUUAAGAAGAAUUUGAAUAGAAUCUUAAGAAAUAAUUCUCAUAAUAUAUGAAGGAGAAAAUAAUACAUAGAUAAAAGUCAAUUCUCUCCAUAAUAAAGAUCAUUCUCAAAAUGCACACUCCAAACACACUAAAGCAAAAUGAAAGGUUUAAUCAUCAUACAAUCCUGACAUAAAAAAAGAAGUCAGACCAAUCCCUCGUAUCCAUACACUCUAAAUUUUGUGCCAAUAACAAAAAAACUAAAUGCAAAAUCUAUAAAUAGUUUUUUUUUUAAAAAAAAAACAGUGAAUAUCUUCUCUUUUGAAGAAUGAGAGAUAGAGUGUACAGUGUAGGAAAAAUUAUAAUUAACCUAAAUACAGGGAUCAUACCUCCUUUCUCUUGUUUACGAAGACGUUUCGGGUAUUUUUCAUGCACUUUCGAUGAAUUGCAAAAAAAAAAAAAACCCAAACAAAUUUAAACUGAAAUAUUGACACCAAAAAAGAAAAAAAAAAACACCGAACCAUUACACUAAUCAUGAGAUUCCAUGUUAAAAUGAAAAGGAAAUAAUAUAUAAGAAAAUCAAUUCUGAAGGAGAACCAUGUAAAUGUGUACCUGUAUAUUAGUGUAAACUGAGAGAGAAGGAGCGUGAAGGGAGAUGACGAAGAAGACCAGUUUCCUGCAUGCAGAAGUACUUUCCCUGCCAAUAAUUAGACAAAAUUAAGAGACUUGUGCAUACUGAGAGGUUUUUUAAGCUCUAAGAAACAAACUCCUUAGGUAAUAAGGUUUCUAAAAGAAAAAAAAAAGGUUUCUUUGCUUUUCACUUUUCUAUUUAAAAGAGAGUGUGCUGAACGAGCAACACGUUGGCAUCCAUUUCAAGCUUUAAAAUUAGAAAAUGUGAUUUUAGAUAUAUAUUUUUUUAAAAAUAUAUUUUUUAUUUAGAAAUAUAUUAAAAUAAUUUUUUUAUUUUUUAAAAUCAAUUUUUAUAUUAACGCAUCAAAAUCAUCUUAAAACACAAAAAAAAUAUUAAUUUAAAAUAAAAAAAUUUUAAUAUUUUUUUUAAAAUAUUUUUAAAACAUAAAAACAAAUAUUAUUGACUGAACUCAAAUUCUUUUGGAUGCAUAUAGUACUUUUUUCUUUCAGAAUCUUUUCUUUUCUAUUUAAAAGAGAUUGUGAUGAACGAGCAACACAGUGACAUCUAAGAUGAAGUGACCAGGUUGUUUUAAUAAUCCUUUUAUAAUAUCAAGCUUUAAAUUUGACAAAUUUAUAAAUUAGGUUCCUCUUAUCAUUAAUCCGAAUUCCUAAUAAUUUUUAUUCAAAUUUGACCACAUCUUUUGUUCAUUGUAGCAUUAAGCUUUGUUGAACAUCAAUUACUAAUCAUACCUGAAUUUAAGCCAUUCAAAUAGCUACCAUCGCCGCCCUGCGGUCACCAAAUCAAACGUACAUCAUACCUCUAUUUUCUAUGCUUUUAUUCAGUUUUGUAAUUGCUUGCUUCCAGUUCUUGUGCUUAGAUACUCGGUUUGCUGAUUAAGUUACAUAUUCCCUGAUCUUUUGUUUGCGGAUUCGAUUUUUAUCCCACUUAUUUUUAUUUUUCCAAUGAAAACUUUCAAUCAACAAGUUUCUCAUCAGAUAUUUGUGUUUCAUCGGUCAUUUCAUCAUAAACUUUGUUUUUUUUUUUUUUUUUUAUGGAAUGACCAAUAAAAAUAUUCAUGCUAAAAAAUUAGAUUUUAUCACCCAUUUGUCAUCGGGAAGUCCGUCCAAGAAAAGGAGCAAAUAUUACCGCUGAAAUCAUGGAUAAAAAUACACUUUAAUUUCCAAUGGAAAUUCCUUCAUCAAUUCCAUUGGAAAUACCUAAACUUUAUGUAAAUUUCGAUGAAAUGUGAGUAAAUAUUGCCGACAAAAAUGCAAUUUUUUUGGUGAUUCUGUUUGUGUUCCAUACUUUUUUUAUGUUGUUUAGUUUUUAUAAUCCCAAAUGCAUUUUUUAUUAACACUAAACUCAUAACAACAACAAUAAAAUUAAAAAUAUUAUAACAAAAUUCCAUACAUAAAAAUUUUGUAAAUAACAUAUUAAAAUUUUUAAAAAGUUGGAGGAGGUGAAAAAAAUCAUGAUCUAUAAGCUCCAUGAGAGGGAGGAAAAUGUAAAGCCAAAUACGCACGUAUUUGCUCUCAUUUUCUAUUAUUUCUUGUUUGAUUUUUGCUUUUAUUUCUUCUAUUAGUUCUGUCAUUAUUUAUGCUCUUAUAUUAUGCAACUCAAUAGCCAAUUGUUAUGGAAUCCUAUCUCAAACCAUCUCCUUAAUGGUCAAUGAUGUCUGGUUGAAAUUGGAAUAUUUUGUGCCUACCAUUGAAACACUACGACUCACCCUUGUAUCUUGGUCAAUGCUAUAGACAUACCACAAACUAAAUUCUUAUCAAGUCUAUUAAUUGCUCUAUCCUUCAACCACAAAUAAGAAUCGUUAGGAGGAUGGUUGUAAUUGUGUUUUUCAUGUUUAACAGCCAUGUUGGCAUUAUAUAUAUUUGUCAAAACAAAACAAAAGGUCAAAAUCCAAUUAAACUUAAAAAAAAUAGUAAUACAAUUAUAACUAUCCAAAAAUACUUACAAUGAACUCUUUCACUGUUUCACUAUAUUAUUGAUAAACCUUUUUAUCUUUUUUGCUUAUCCUCUUUUUUUAUAUGAGUUUCCUAAUAUAACUUCAUUGGAGUAUGUUCGCACCAAAACUGUUUUUCCUAUACAAUAAAUAGUUUGUAAAAAAGUCUCAUAAAUAAAAAAUAAAUUAAUAAUUAAAUAAACAAUAAUUAAAUAUAUAGCAAUGCUCUUAUUAGGCUAUUUGCAUGGUUCACCAAGGAAAGUGCUCCUCAAGUGUGCAUGCUCAUCAAACCAUGAAUUUUCUUUUUUCCUAUUGUUUUGAGACCUAGAUUUUGAGCACUUUUUAAAACCAUAUGAUGCCAAAACUUCUUGAAACUUAGCCCAAUUACUCUUUGUGACGUGUCUCGAUCUAAAAUUUUUCCACAAUACUAUGUCAUCAAAGUUGGCUCUGUUCAUUGAAUAUCUAGAAACAUCAUGCCACAAAUCACGCAACCUAGUAUAGUAAUUUAAUAAACAAAAUUAAGAUAAGGAAAUGAAAUAUUAUAGUUUUACAAUAAUAUAAUUGUUUUUUGCAUUAUACUUACCUAAUUACAAUGUGGUUUUCCCACACAUUUCUUACAACCCCCUCAUUUUCCUUGUCCUGGUAAUUUUUUUUCCUUGUAGUCAAACAUUAGUUAUUUUUAAAAAAUUUUAAAAACUAUAUAUUAACUCAAUGUAUAUAUUAUUUAUUUAACCAUUAACUUUUCCCAAAAACAUCUACUAUAAUCAUACAUUUAGAAUGAUCUUAAAGUUGACUCUAUUAAAACAAUGGUUUUUCAAAAACAAAUUUAAGAUUAAUUGUAUUAAAGAGAAAAACUAUAAAAAAAAAAAACACAAAAAGUGUACCUAAGAUGUACAUCAUCUUGUAACCCAAAUCAAAUGACCUUAGACAAUAGGGAAAAAAACAAAAGCUAAAAAAAAUUAAAAAUUUCUGAAAAUAAGACUGCUUGAAUAAUAGCAUAGAAAAUCAAUUCAUCAAAAUCAUUUAAUGUAAAACUUAAAAUAAUCUAUUACAAAUAAAUAACUUCAAUGGUAAGAGAAAAAACAUGACUUACAUUGUGUCGUUGGCUUUUUAUGUUGCAAUAAGUUUUCUUGAUACAGGGUCUCUAGAAGAAGGGAUUCUACCUUUUUUGUUUGUGAAAUUCAUUGUUGUAAAUGAGAUCAUUGCAUAAUUAGUUGGCAUCAAAGGACAUAAUAAUCUCUCUCUUUGUAUGAUUAAUAGAAAUGAUACUGUGAAUCUGUAAAUUAUGCCAAAAACGCUUUAUUCUGUUUCUAAAGGACUCGAGGCUAUUGCUCUAAGAGUUGAAGUGCCUAUGUUCAAAUCAUUUUAAAAUUACCUGCAUUAUUGCAUUUUUGUUCCACUAGAAAUUGUUUCUGAUGUUUUUGACAUCUACAAAUACUGCAAGGUCCUAUCCUGGUACUACUACAUCUGCUUGGUGUGGCCUUGUUAAGUUAACUGGGAAUUUGCAUAAUGUUUCCAGGCUGAUGCUUUUGAAAGCCAGCGUGGACAAUGCAUUGAUAUCACCUGGAAAGUGAUAAUUUAUUUAAAUAAAACAGACUUUACCAAGGUGAUGGAAACAAUGCUAUACUGCCCUGACAAAUAAAUGUAUAAAUGACAUUCGAGAGUUAAACUGGUUUUGCUUACACCAUUGUGCAUAGAACUGCUUAUUUCCUUUUCUGAAGAAUGUUCUUUGUACGCUUAAUUGAACUAGUCUCUUUAAGUGUUCAAUGGUUCUCACCAACCAUUUGUCAAAGAAAUAAAGAAGUCUGUUAAUUUUAUUGGUUUGCCAUUCCAACAGGGGCUGGAUCCCCUUUAAAUUGUGCAUGCAACUUGUUAGCAAACCUCUUAUUUUGGUAGGCAGAGUUUAUCCGUGUUGUGACUUCAGAUAAUAACAAUGACUGAUUUGGUCAAUCUCUCAAAAAGUUUUCUGUAUUCCCGAGAGUAAUAAUCCUAAUCAUCAUUUUAGGUUAGUUGACAGAAUAUCUUUCUUGGUUAUUUCUUAGUUCAUAUGAACCAAACCUGCCUCAUUCCUCCCCUCAUGCGAGGUAGUUAAGUAGUGUAUGAGCCCUAGUACUGGUUUCAAGAUAUGACUUAUCACUGUGUAUAUGUCUGUAGUUAGUUUAGCUGAGAGUUCAAACAAGUGUUUAUGGUGUUAAACGUUUUUCAAUCAUAAAUUGUUUUGCAGAUAUAAUUGAUGAAUUGGUGAAGAAUGGGAAAGAGAUAAGGCUGUAUAUUUUGCUUCUGAAUCUGGUUUGACGAAAAGAUUUUCUCCUGUAUCUCUACUCAAGUCAUAUCUUAAGAAUUCCAAGAAGAUCACAACUACUGUCUUGAAGAAUGGCAAUUAUAGUGUAGCUGCAACGGUGUGUCUAAUCUCUAUCUACAUUGUGUAAUUCUAAUGACAUGAAAUAUUUGAGUCUUAUUAAUUUUUUUGCAGGAUGAGUCAAGUACCUUGGAGUUGAAUUCUAUUAAAGCAAUCAUCAAAUGUGUGGAAGAUCAUAAGCUUGAAUCAGAAUUUUCCCUUGACAGCUUGAGAAAACGGGCUUCUCUGCUUGAAAAAACCAAAGCAGAGAGGAAGAGGGGUACAUCAGCUGCCACUGCUACCAAGUCUCAAAACAAGCGAGGCCAUGGUUCAAGUGGUGGCCGGGACAGUGGACCUACUCCUUAUCGUCAAGCCAAAGCUGCCAAAUUUUCAAACAAUUAUUCCUCUUUCAGCCGCAGGAAUGCUCCUCUCCCUGCACAGCAUAGCCCGGCUAGAAGAUAUUCAGGGCCAUUCCACUACCCUAGCCAGAGUGUCUACGAGGGCCCCGCAGCAGCCCCGUAUGCAUCAACUUAUGGUAUCUCGCACGCUCAAAGCCCUUCUGCAAUCUCUCAACAACCCUACCAUCACUCUCAAAGCCCCAGUGCAAUUCCUCAACAACUCUACUCACAGCCAGCGGAGAACAUGAGUGCUGCCGGUUUCCGUGCCAGUGGUUCUUAUGGAAGCCAGACCGGUUACGGGGCAUAUGAUUACGGCUCUGCUGCACCCGUUACUUACCAACCUUCAUCCUACACUCAAUAAGAUGGGAGGAACCUAGCCAGGUGUUAAGAUUCUUAUUUUUAUUUGGUGUCUGAUUUCUGGAUGUGGCCCUCUAAUUUUGGGACCCGCCCCCUUCAUCUCCCUUUCCCGUAUAAAAGUUUUUUUUUGGUCUUAUCUCAUGACUGGAUAUGAUGCCCAUGCCUGUAACGCUGAUUACCUUUAUAUGGAGCUCAAGCUGGAUGUGAUUUCCGUGCUGUGAGUUUUAAAUGGUUUGGCUAUCGAGCAUUGUAUUCUUUCAACUUCUUUCCUUGAUUGGAGUCGCCAUUGGGUGCCUAUGCUUGUGUUUUUGCCAAAUUUUGGUUAAUCAAACCAAUUUCAUUUGCUGCUUGCACUUUUUUAAGAAGGAAGAAAUGAAUAACAAGGAACAUGUUAAUUAAUAGGACUAACUUGUUAAAAUCACAACAAUUUAGUAAUCAUGCUAAAAAUCCAAUUUAGUAAGAACAUGGCUAUAAUGGGUAACAAUUAUCUAGUCCUUGUAAUUGAUAGACAUCAUUCUUUUGGCCACUAGGUCUGAAAAUAACUCACAAACAUUCAGACCAAUGGAGAAACUUGUAUUAGAUGUUCUAUAAAAUGGUUAUUCAUCAUCUAAUUCUCUACAUAAACAAAUAACUACAUAUGGUAAUCAAUAACACCAUUUAGGCUUUCAUUGAUUAGCUCAAUCAAAACUAAAAUGAGCUCAAAUAAAGUUGACCAAGCACUUGUUUUUGUACUGUUUCUUAGGAGACAAGUCUUAUGAUAUCCUUUAAUAAUAAGCACUCUAAUAAGAAUAUUUGGAAGUAGUCAUAUUCUAAGUAUUACAUGUCCACAUAAUAAUAAUUUCAACAUAAUUUGGGUACACACUUCCAAGUGAUCAGUUAAUGUUUAAUUUUACGAUAAAAUAUUUCAUUUUAUUAGUUUAGAGCAAUUAAGGCUUUUGGAAAUAAAAUUAAAUCCUUAAAAACUUGUGAACACCUUUAAUUUUGUCCCAUUGAGGACUAGUUUCUAAUUUUAGUUGUAGUUAUUUUUUAUUUUAAUUUGGUUUUUCCAUAUAUUUUUUGAAAAUUGUCUUGAUAGUUUUUAUUCUUAGAUAUAAUGGUCCAUAAUAUGAAGACAAAGGUCUAGUGCUUGAUUGAUGUUCAAUUUUAUCAAAAUAUGUUUAAAUUGAGUUGACUUAAAGCAAUUAGGGUUUAAAGGACCAAAUUUGAUUAUGAAAUAAAUAUGAGAGACUAAAAUUAAUGAGUAUAGUUAAAAAGGUACAACAGCUUUGGCAGCAUAUGCAACCUUUUCUAGCGGCCAACCCACCCUUCCACGGUGGCGAUCGAUGUAUCUUAGAAUUCUUUUUUGCAAGGGUAAUUAACACAUGUAUUCUUAUUCUUGGUGGUGUGUCGUUAGCGUUAUUUUUUUAUUUUAUUUUAUUUAUAUUUUUCCUCUCUUUUCUUUAAAAUUCAUGCUAGCCAUUUCAAAUUUCGUAGUUGUCUCCUUGUUUUAGUAUUAUUUCAAAUUCGAAUCUUUUUUUAUUACUAAGUUUUUGUUCUAGAUCUUUUUUUAAAAUGUAAAAUUGUUUUCAAUUUUCUCAUUCAAUAAAAAAUUACAAGUUGUCCUUUUUUUUAUUUUUAAAAUUUGGUCCAUAUUUUUUUAAUUCCUAUUUUUAGUUUUUGAUCCUAUAGUGAAAUUAAAUUUUCCUUUCAUUUUCAUCAUCUAAUUUGUUUUUAUUUCUAAUUCUAUUCUUAUUCUUUUGGUUGGCCUUGAUCUCUUUUUCUGUCCUUCUAGGGUGCUGUAAUCACCAUCAACAAAGUGGCCUUUUAAGGAAGAAGUGGCUCAAAUUGUUUAUAUAGUUGGGUUACAUUUUAAUAUAGUCAUGUAUUUGAAAAAGUAUUUAGUUAAUUAAUAUAUAUAUAUAUUACUAAAAAUUCUUUUAAAAUUUUAAUUAAAAUAUAAUAUAAUUUAUAACUUUUUUUAAAUGUAUUUUUUUAAAUCACAUAUCUAUCACAAAGAAAGAUCUUUUCAUAAAUCCCAACUUUCGCAAGAAUAUUAAUCAUGAGUCCUUACAUGUCCUCUUCCUUGUUGAAUUCUACGGCCUUCGAAUGUCAUGUCUAUGCCGAUUUACUCGGGUAUUUCUUUAUGCAUGCAUGCAAAAUAAUAUAAUAAUUAAUUAUUAGUUUAUAGAGGCUGAUAAAUAAAUAAAAUAUAUAGUUUAUUGAGUUUCCAAAACAAAACAAUCGCAUCUUGUGGUCAUCAACCAAAUCUAAUACUGUUUGGAAAAACACUGUUCAUGUAGAUUAAUAAGUACUAUUUAUUAAAACAAAGUAUUAAUGAUAGUUUUGCUUUUCUCGUAAAAGAAUUUGAACCAGUUAUUUAAGAUACUUUCACAAGUUUCAUUUAUUAUUAUCAAGUCAAAUUAAUAAGUGUUUUUGUAUUUUGAAAUCAUAGUAAAAUAAUUAAAAUAUGUUUACAUGUAAAAAAUUAUAAACUAAUGUCCAAGUGCUUUUUAGUAUUUUUACACUAGUUUUUUCAUUAUUAUUAGGUUAGUUGAAGGAAAAACUAGUAUUUUAAUAAAUAAAAAAUAUUAUUUAAAAACAAAAAACGACUAGCCUAUGUAAUGCUUGUGCAAGCAUAUAAGCGGCGCUAGCUACACUCAAGUGGCAUCUCUCAACGAUCAAACAUUAGUUUUUGCCAUGUCAUUGGAAGCACUGCAACAUACUCUUCCUUUAAGAACGACACAUGGUGUUAUUGGGGUGGCGGUGUGAUGUUGGUGACUUUUUUUUCUUCUCAUUCCACUUUACUCUUUCCUCCUCUUGAAAAUCGUGUUGGCCAUGCGAAAUUUCAAAGUUGUCAUCUAAUUUAUUGAGAUGUCAAAUUUAUUAUUUAUUAUUUUGAUUUAUUAUUUUUGUUUUUGGUCAUUUUGUGAAAUUUUGAGUUAUUUUUAAUUUUAUCUUUCAAUCUCAAUUUGUGAUAUAUUAUGUUUUUUUUCAAUUUAGUCUUCAUUCUUUUUGAUAGUUUUAUUUUGAGUCCUUUUGUUAAAUUGAAUUUUCUUUUCAAUUUCACCCUUCAAUUAAAAAAAAAUUUAUUUUUUUUAUUUUAAUUUUGAUCCUCAUUCCUUCAAUUACUAUUUUUUUUUUUCUAAAUAAUUGAUUUUUCUUUUUUUCAUUUUUAAAUUUUAUCAAAAACGCACGUGAUUAGUUGUUGUCAAACUAUCUAGUGCUAAGAAUUCGAAAGUCAAGUACCCUGCAAUAUGAAAGAACUCUGAAAACACACACCAGAGACAUGCAUGUUCUGCUUUAUAUUUAACCAAAGUCGUUACAAGAGAGAGGAGAAAGAGCUUAUCUAUUUGUUACAAGAGAUACAAAUUACAUGAGAUUUAAAUACCCUCCAGUUUGAACUGGAUGUGAUCCUAUUCUCCACCCAUAAAAAUUAUAAGGAAUUUAAUGGGAUUUGCAAGCAGGACAGACAUUACUGAAAAUCUAGAGUAACAAAGUACUUGCCAAUAAUAAAAGAGGAUUGGAAUGUGAUGAUGGUUAUGAAAAUCCAGUACGUUCUUGCACCGUGAUUGCCAGGAUGAAUGUAUAUGCUAAACCCAUGAAGGAAAGGCCACAUAUGAUACAAUAUGUCGCCAUGUCCAUGCUUAUUCUUACAUUACCGGUACGACCUAAUGAUAUCCGACAAAGGAUUAUAGCGGCGAUGAGGGAGAAAUUCAUAGCUAGCAUGUCAAAAAAAAUAUAAGCUCUCAUCAGAUAUUUUGAAGUACCACUGCUAAGAUCAGAACCUGAUCCAGGCACAGUGAUAGCACCAGCGAAGGUUACUCCAGCUACCAGUACUGCCACCACGAGAAGAUUCCCUACCCCUCUGUUCCGUUCCUCCGUCGUUAACGUCGUUCUUGGUGAAUCAAAGAUAAGAUUGAUGCCAAACUCAUUCUUAUCAUUUCCUCCACCAAAACUUUUAAUACCUCACGCUGAACAACAAAAUGUUAAUUAGAAAAUAUAUGGUAAACAAAUUAAUUAUAUAAAGCAUCAUGACAAUGUUAUCUUAAUAUCCCAUAAUAACGAAGAAGUAACUCAUCGCAAUAUAUUUAGUAGAUCAGCGAGGCAUUCCAUAUUUUUGAGCAAGUAAAGAACUUUAUUUCCACUUUGGAUUAAUCAAAUUUUAGGUAAUUAAAAGAAAUCUAUCAUUCCCUUUUCUAUAAAGUUGCAACAUGGACAGAAUGUGGAUGUGAAAGUUUUUGCUAGACUAGAAUGUAUUUACUUCAAUCACCUGAUUAGCUUCUUACGUGGACGAAACCCUCUGGUAUUGAUGAAUAUAAAAGAAUUAAAUGUGACUGAGGUUUUGAAAAUUAAAAAAUCUUUUUAAAUGAGUAUUGAUUGUUCCUAUAUAUGCAAUUACUAGAAGCUGGAUUGUGGAGUAUAAUGCCAUUACUAGAAGCUUAUUGGCAUAUGGAAAAAACUAGAGAGUAUUUAUGCUUCUAGACCCAUGACUAAUCGUUUUCUUUUGAAGUUAGAUUUGUACUCUUGAGGAUGGAUGAAGGAAUGGGUAUACACAAGAGUUAAAAGGUUGACAACACAAGUAGUCAAUAUUAGAAAAAACAAAAUUGGGGAAAAAGAGCGAAACCUCAUUCUACAAGCCAUUGGUGCAAACAAUACUAGUUAAAAGGAUAACUUUAGGUUUAAUCUUACUAGAUAGAAUAAAAGGUUUUGAAAGGUAACGAGGCAUUGGUGAUGGAAGGUAAUCUAGGAAAUAAAAUUAUGAUUGUCAUGGGAGGAACAUGGCAUAAAGAGGUAGAUUUGGUAUAAAAAACUCUAUUUGAGAUUCUAGAUCUAGAGUGGAAUACAAUAUUAAUAUUUUUAUUGUCAUUGCAAAAUACUAGUUAAAAGGAUAACUUUAGGUUUAAAUGAUACAACUAUAAUUUUAUUGGAGAAUGAUAGGUUUUGAAAAUAGAAAACAAUGUCAAAAGGUAACGAGGCAUUGGUUAUGGGAGGUGGUCCUGUAAUUUACCAUGAAAGAUGGGAGCAAAGUGUUGAAUAUUAAACUCAAUCCAGAAGCUCCCAGAAGGUCAAGGAAGACAACCAGCCACCAGCCACCAGUCGCCGACCAGCCGCCAGCCGCCUUCACACUUGAAGGUUGAAUUUUCUAGUUUUUGAUUUCGUGUAUAAAUAGAGUGCCUAGCUUCUGUUAAUGUGUGUGGAGAGAAUUGAGAGCAAACACUAGAAAGAGAAAUAGAGAGAGAGAGGGCAUGUACUGUUAAGCUUUUGUUAAUUAAUUGUAAGCUUGUGUUUUUGUAACAAAACUUUGUGUUUUAUCCCCUCUGAGUGUUUCAAAGUCACCACCAGUGGUUUCUCCCAUGCACCAACAAUUAGUAUCAGAGCCCCGUUCGUCAGAAAACAGAAGUGUUUUGGGGUACAUCCGAAUUUUCAAAGUUGUCAAAAACAAGUUUUGAUCAUUCCACAGUGAAGAGCUCAUCAAUACGAACUCACUGUCGCAAGAAUCAGCCUUAUCGGAGUCCGCGGUGAUCCACACGCGCCGCCUGAAGAUCCGGUGACUGUAUCCCAUGCGCAUCCACGCGCGCCAUAUUUGAGCCGCGCCGAGCCCGAGCCGCGCCGCAAGCCGAGCCGUCCUCCGCACCGAGAGAAUAUUCCCCAAAAUAUUCCCCGAAUAUUCCUGGUUCAACCUAGCGAACCGCCCGCCGUACAGAAUUGGUUUUUUGACCGGUUCACCCAUUUUCUGACCCGAAUUCAACAAAGUCAGACCGGUUCCCUGCUAUUUGGAUCAUUCCAGAUCGAUCUACAAUGUCCGUUUGGCCAAAUUCGGCUCCUAGAAAGGUGAUAUAAUCAUUCAAAGAGCAAAAUGACUACAGAAGAUACACAUACACUCAUUCCAAAGCUGACCAAAGACAACUAUGAUAGUUGGUGCAUCAGAUUGAAGGCAUUCCUUGGGUCACAAGAGUGUUUGGAUAUUGUACAAACUGGUUAUGAUGAAUCAGAGUCCAAAGAAAGAGAAGAUGUUUUAUAAGAGGCACAAAAGCAAGCUCUUAAAGUCAACAGAAAGAAAGACAACAAAGCAAAGACCAUCAUCUAUCAGGGUCUUGAUGAAGACACAUUCGAGAUCAUAGCUUCCGCUGAAACAUCACAUGAUAUAUGGAGGCUCUCCAACAGAAAUACAAAGGUGCUGACAGAAUUAAAAAAAUUCGUCUUCAAUCUUUGCGAGGUGAAUUUGAGUUAUUGCAAAUGAAGUCCUCGGAGUCUAUUUCUGAUUAUCGCACAAGGAUUAUGGUGAUAGUCAACCAGAUGAGGAGAAAUGGAGAAGCCAUCGUCGAUUCUCGAAUUACUGAGAAAAUUUUGAGAUCGCUAGAUCCAAAAUUCGAUUUUGUUGUUGUCGCAAUUGAAGAAUCUAAAGAAGUGGACAAGUUGACAGUUGAUGAACUUAUGAGUUCUUUGCAAGCUCAUGAGCAGAAAAUUGUAAAGGGAAAUGGAGAUAAGGCAAUUGAGCAUGCCUUACAAGCAAAGCUGUCUCUCAAGGACAAAUAUGAGCAAGGGGAGACUUCAACAAAUGGAUAUACCACUCAAGCAGGAAGUCAACAAUCCAGAGGAGGAUUCCAGAGAUUCCAAGGAAGAGGUUCUUGGAAUACAAGCUUUAGAGGAAGAGGUGGCAGAAACAUCAUUAGAGGAGAUCGAGGACAACAAGCAUUCAAUCCUAGAGGAAGAGGGGGCGAUUACAAUAACCAUGACAAGAGGAAUAUCCAAUGUUAUAGUUGCAAUCAAUUUGGGCACUAUAGCACUGAAUGCAGAAGGAAAGCUCUAUUGGAGAUACGUGAGCAAGCCAACUAUGCAGAGAAGGAUGACAGAGAAGAAGCUGCAUUUCUUGUCCAACAAGAACAAAAUUAAGAUAAGGAAAUGAAAUAUUAUAGUUUUACAAUAAUAUAAUUGUUUUUUGCAUUAUACUUACCUAAUUACAAUGUGGUUUUCCCACACAUUUCUUACAACCCCCUCAUUUUCCUUGUCCUGGUAAUUUUUUUUCCUUGUAGUCAAACAUUAGUUAUUUUUAAAAAAAUUUUAAAAACUAUAUAUUAACUCAAUGUAUAUAUUAUUUAUUUAACCAUUAACUUUUCCCAAAAACAUCUACUAUAAUCAUACAUUUAGAAUGAUCUUAAAGUUGACUCUAUUAAAACAAUGGUUUUUCAAAAACAAAUUUAAGAUUAAUUGUAUUAAAGAGAAAAACUAUAAAAAAAAAACACAAAAAGUGUACCUAAGAUGUACAUCAUCUUGUAACCCAAAUCAAAUUGACCUUAGACAAUAGGGAAAAAAACAAAAGCUAAAAAAAAUUAAAAAUUUCUGAAAACAAGACUGCUUGAAUAAUAGCAUAGAAAAUCAAUUCAUCAAAAUCAUUUAAUGUAAAACUUAAAAUAAUCUAUUACAAAUAAAUAACUUCAAUGGUAAGAGAAAAAACAUGACUUACAUUGUGUCGUUGGCUUUUUAUGUUGCAAUAAGUUUUCUUGAUACAGGGUCUCUAGAAGAAGGGAUUCUACCUUUUUUGUUUGUGAAAUUCAUUGUUGUAAAUGAGAUCAUUGCAUAAUUAGUUGGCAUCAAAGGACAUAAUAAUCUCUCUCUUUGUAUGAUUAAUAGAAAUGAUACUGUGAAUCUGUAAAUUAUGCCAAAAACGCUUUAUUCUGUUUCUAAAGGACUCGAGGCUAUUGCUCUAAGAGUUGAAGUGCCUAUGUUCAAAAUCAUUUUAAAAUUACCUGCAUUAUUGCAUUUUUGUUCCACUAGAAAUUGUUUCUGAUGUUUUUGACAUCUACAAAUACUGCAAGGUCCUAUCCUGGUACUACUACAUCUGCUUGGUGUGGCCUUGUUAAGUUAACUGGGUAUUUGCAUAAUGUUUCCAGGCUGAUGCUUUUGAAAGCCAGCGUGGACAAUGCAUUGAUAUCACCUGGAAAGUGAUAAUUUAUUUAAAUAAAACAGACUUUACCAAGGUGAUGGAAACAAUGCUAUACUGCCCUGACAAAUAAAUGUAUAAAUGACAUGCGAGAGUUAAACUGGUUUUGCUUACACCAUUGUGCAUAGAACUGCUUAUUUCCUUUUCUGAAGAAUGUUCUUUGUACGCUUAAUUGAACUAGUCUCUUUAAGUGUUCAAUGGUUCUCACCAACCAUUUGUCAAAGAAAUAAAGAAGUCUGUUAAUUUUAUUGGUUUGCCAUUCCAACAGGGGCUGGAUCCCCUUUAAAUUGUGCAUGCAACUUGUUAGCAAACCUCUUAUUUUGGUAGGCAGAGUUUAUCCGUGUUGUGACUUCAGAUAAUAACAAUGACUGAUUUGGUCAAUCUCUCAAAAAGUUUUCUGUAUUCCCGAGAGUAAUAAUCCUAAUCAUCAUUUUAGGUUAGUUGACAGAAUAUCUUUCUUGGUUAUUUCUUAGUUCAUAUGAACCAAACCUGCCUCAUUCCUCCCCUCAUGCGAGGUAGUUAAGUAGUGUAUGAGCCCUAGUACUGGUUUCAAGAUAUGACUUAUCACUGUGUAUAUGUCUGUAGUUAGUUUAGCUGAGAGUUCAAACAAGUGUUUAUGGUGUUAAACGUUUUUCAAUCAUAAAUUGUUUUGCAGAUAUAAUUGAUGAAUUGGUGAAGAAUGGGAAAGAGAUAAGGCUGUAUAUUUUGCUUCUGAAUCUGGUUUGACGAAAAGAUUUUCUCCUGUAUCUCUACUCAAGUCAUAUCUUAAGAAUUCCAAGAAGAUCACAACUACUGUCUUGAAGAAUGGCAAUUAUAGUGUAGCUGCAACGGUGUGUCUAAUCUCUAUCUACAUUGUGUAAUUCUAAUGACAUGAAAUAUUUGAGUCUUAUUAAUUUUUUUGCAGGAUGAGUCAAGUACCUUGGAGUUGAAUUCUAUUAAAGCAAUCAUCAAAUGUGUGGAAGAUCAUAAGCUUGAAUCAGAAUUUUCCCUUGACAGCUUGAGAAAACGGGCUUCUCUGCUUGAAAAAACCAAAGCAGAGAGGAAGAGGGGUACAUCAUCAGCUGCCACUGCUACCAAGUCUCAAAACAAGCGAGGCCAUGGUUCAAGUGGUGGCCGGGACAGUGGACCUACUCCUUAUCGUCAAGCCAAAGCUGCCAAAUUUUCAAACAAUUAUUCCUCUUUCAGCCGCAGGAAUGCUCCUCUCCCUGCACAGCAUAGCCCGGCUAGAAGAUAUUCAGGGCCAUUCCACUACCCUAGCCAGAGUGUCUACGAGGGCCCCGCAGCAGCCCCGUAUGCAUCAACUUAUGGUAUCUCGCACGCUCAAAGCCCUUCUGCAAUCUCUCAACAACCCUACCAUCACUCUCAAAGCCCCAGUGCAAUUCCUCAACAACUCUACUCACAGCCAGCGGAGAACAUGAGUGCUGCCGGUUUCCGUGCCAGUGGUUCUUAUGGAAGCCAGACCGGGUUACGGGGCAUAUGAUUACGGCUCUGCUGCACCCGUUACUUACCAACCUUCAUCCUACACUCAAUAAGAUGGGAGGAACCUAGCCAGGUGUUAAGAUUCUUAUUUUUAUUUGGUGUCUGAUUUCUGGAUGUGGCCCUCUAAUUUUGGGACCCGCCCCCUUCAUCUCCCUUUCCCGUAUAAAAGUUUUUUUUUGGUCUUAUCUCAUGACUGGAUAUGAUGCCCAUGCCUGUAACGCUGAUUACCUUUAUAUGGAGCUCAAGCUGGAUGUGAUUUCCGUGCUGUGAGUUUUAAAUGGUUUGGCUAUCGAGCAUUGUGAUUACUCUCAUGAUUGGAGUCGCCAUUGGGCGCCUAUGCUUGUUUUUUUGCUAAAUUUUGGCAUGCCUAAUAGACUAAUUUGUUAAAUCACAACAAUUUAGUAAUCAUGCUAAAAAUCCAAUUUAGUAAGAACAUGGCUAUGAUGGGUAACAAUUAGCUAGCCCUUGUAAUUGAUAGACGUCAUUCUUUUGGCCACGAGAGGUCUGAAAAUAACUCACAAACAUUCAGACCAAUGGAGAAGCUUGUAUUACAUGUUCUAUAAAAUGGUUAUUCAUCAUCUAAUUCUUUAUAUAAACAAAUAACUACACAUGAAUAGAACAAUAAUGUUCCCUUAUAGUUUAUAAUAUUGCCACCUUUGUGAGUAUCAUUACCUUUGUGAAUAUCAUUUUGCCUCUACCAUCACAACCUCACAGUUAAUUUUUUUUUUCAUCAUUCAAUUUUUUUUUAAAAUUAGUCUUAUAAUUUGUUUUUUCAAUUCAGCUAUCCCCGAUUUCAUUACCAGAACUACAUGUUUGAUGAAUUUUUUUUGGGUCGCUGUUUUUUUAUUUAAAAUUUUAUUAGUUUCAUCCUUGAACAUUUGGUUCCUUUAGAAUUGAUUAUUGUAAUCAUUCUAAAGACAUGCAUAAAUUGUUUUAAGGCCUUAAAGUGCAUCUUCAUUCAUCUCAGAAACUGAAAAAAUAAAAAAAAAUCAAAUAAAAGAAACCUAAUUAUUUUUCCUGGCCUUGAUCUCUUUUUCUUUGUCCUUCUAGGGUGGUGUAAUCACCAUCAACAAAAUGGCCUUUUAAGGAAGAAGGGGACACUGGACACCAUUAUAGCAGGUUGCAAUGUCAGGAUCUAGAGGAAAGUUUCUCUCCUCGCCUAUCUCUCCUCGGUCCUGUCUCCGAUCUUUACAUACAGGGACUGAAUUUUAAAAAUAGUGUGUUUGUUUUUUAAAUAGGUUUUGUGGUUUUGAUUUUAAAAAAAUAAAUUUAAAAAAAGUGUGGUUAACUAUGAUUAGUUAAAUUUAAAUACGUGUUUAGUAAAAAUUAUAGUUGAAGUUUAUGUGUAACAAAAAUAAUGUAUAAAAUAUUUGGUGGAAGUAUAGUUGCCGUUGUUUUUUAAAGUGUUUUUUACUUGGAAAUGUAUCAAAAUAAUUUUUUUAAAAAAAUUAUUUUUGAUAUCAGCAUUGAUUUGAAAACAAAAAAAAUAUAUCAAUUUGAAGCAAAGAAAAAAAUAAAAAAAUUUAUUUUUUUCAAAAGCGCUUUUGAAACAUAAAAAUAAAUAGGGUUUUAUGAAACUCAAUUAAAAAAUCAUGUAAAAACUACUACAUAAAAAUUACGUUUCAAACUCAACUUUUUAGUAAGUCCCGCAUUACAAACCAAAGUUUAGUUUGUUAAUUACCAAACACUUUGCCAUGUUUGUUUCACCACAAACAAAAAACCAGUGAAGAAAUCCUAAAUAUCUAAAUAAUUUAUACAUGUUUUUUACUACACAUAACCUUUAACUAUAAUUUUUAUUAAACACAUAUUUAAAUUCAAUUAAUUACAAUUGACUCUAUUUAAAAAAAAAAACUUAUUUUUUUAAAUUAAAAUCUCAAAAACUAUCUAAAAAAUAAAGAAACGAGUGAGGAUGUUGAUGAUGCCAAGCAAGUCAGUGUAAAGUGGAAAUCUUGACAAGAUGUUGUAGCCUUCAUAAAAAGUACAAUGCAGUACAAAACGAGAGGUGAAUGUUUGAGAUUGUUAUAAUUUUUAAUUUUAUAUGAUUUUUAAAAGUAUAUUUUAUUUUAAAAAUAUAUUAAAUUAAUAUUUUUUUAAUAAUUUUUUCUAAAACAUAUUUUUCUAAAACAUAUUUUUAAAAAUAAUUUCCAUCACAACACUAAAAACAUAUAAAUAUUUAUCAUAGUAACAAGAAGUGAUAAUAUUUGAUGUAAAAACGGCUGAAUGUAUAUGUCAUGUUUCGAGAAGCGUCCAUGAUUAUAUCAUUAUGAUCCCAAAAAGAAAAAUAUUAAAUAUUAGGCUACAAUUAUUUAUAUACAGUUUUAAAACCUGGACCGGCCCGGCAGGUCAACUCGGGCCGAGACCGGUCCAGGUAGAGGCAAAAAUCUACUUGGAAAUUGACUCGGUAAAACCCGGUCGAUCUGCCGGGUUGACCCCGUGACCUGGACCACCCGGUCAAACCCGGCUGACACAUGAUCUCUCUUUCUCUCUUUCUCUAUAUAUAUAUAUAGACGUUAAACGACGUCGUUUUGGCCUUAAAAGGCCAAAACGAUGAACAAUGACGAAGCAGAAUUGGGGACACAUUGAUUACAGAGCAAACCCAAUUAACGAAAGAUUCCAUCACAGCCAAUGCAACUACAGUCUGGUCUAUAAGCUUUUGGCUUUCUUCUUUGCUCUUGCCAAUUAGGAUUUUUGCGUUUCGAGUGAUCGAUUUGCCCAUCAAAGUUGAAGUGAAGGGAGUGAGUUGGUUACAGAGAGAACUCCAUUCUAGGAUUUUAAGGGUUUUGAGUUGGAGUGAGCGAGCUGGAGGAGUGAGUUUCGGUGAGUGUGAAUCAAAGGGUUUUGUUAGGGCUUUGGUGGAGAAGGGUGGUUUGGUGGUGAAGAAGAGAAUCGGGGAUUUUUUAAUGGCUAUUAAAUGAUUGGAGAGUUUGAUUAAUGAAGGAUUUUUGAGGGAGAGAAGGAAAGGGAUGGGCUGUUUGACAACAACUUAUCCUUUUUAUUUUCAGCUUAUCUUUUAUUUUAGGUUGACUUGUUUUUAGGUUGACUCGUGUCAAUCAAUCUAACUCGUGAUUCGAUCACUUGACUAGAUUGAUAUCCGGAUCGAUUUUUAAAAUUAUGAUUUCUAUAAUUAGGUUACAUUUCGUUAUAGUCAUGUAUUUGAAAAAAUAUUUAGUUAAUAAAUAUAUAUAUAUAUAUAUAUAUAUAUAUAUGUUUUACUAAAAAUUAUUUUAAAAUUUUAAUUAAAAUAUAAUAUAUUUUAUAACUUUUUUUAAAAUGUAUUUUUUAAAAUCACAUAUCUAUCACAAAGAAAGAUCUUUUCAUACAUCCCAACUUUAGGCUAGAAGAUAUUCAGGGCCAUUCCACUACCCUAGCCAGAGUGUCUACGAGGGCCCCGCAGCAGCCCCGUAUGCAUCAACUUAUGGUAUCUCGCACGCUCAAAGCCCUUCUGCAAUCUCUCAACAACCCUACCAUCACUCUCAAAGCCCCAGUGCAAUUCCUCAACAACUCACUCACAGCCAGCGGAGACAUGAGUGCUGCCGGUUUCCGUGCCAGUGGUUCUUAUGGAAGCCAGACCGGUUACGGGGCAUAUGAUUACGGCUCUGCUGCACCCGUUACUUACCAACCUUCAUCCUACACUCAAUAAGAUGGGAGGAACCUAGCCAGGUGUUAAGAUUCUUAUUUUAUUUGGUGUCUGAUUUCUGGAUGUGGCCCUCUAAUUUUGGGACCCGCCCCCUUCAUCUCCCUUUCCCGUAUAAAAGUUUUUUUUUGGUCUUAUCUCAUGACUGGAUAUGAUGCCCAUGCCUGUAACGCUGAUUACCUUUAUAUGGAGCUCAAGCUGGAUGUGAUUUCCGUGCUGUGAGUUUUAAAUGGUUUGGCUAUCGAGCAUUGUGAUUACUCUCAUGAUUGGAGUCGCCAUUGGGCGCCUAUGCUUGUUUUUUUGCUAAAUUUUGGCAUGCCUAAUAGACUAAUUUGUUAAAUCACAACAAUUUAGUAAUCAUGCUAAAAAUCCAAUUUAGUAAGAACAUGGCUAUGAUGGGUAACAAUUAGCUAGCCCUUGUAAUUGAUAGACGUCAUUCUUUUGGCCACGAGAGGUCUGAAAAUAACUCACAAACAUUCAGACCAAUGGAGAAGCUUGUAUUACAUGUUCUAUAAAAUGGUUAUUCAUCAUCUAAUUCUUUAUAUAAACAAAUAACUACACAUGAAUAGAACAAUAAUGUUCCCUUAUAGUUUAUAAUAUUGCCACCUUUGUGAGUAUCAUUACCUUUGUGAAUAUCAUUUUGCCUCUACCAUCACAACCUCACAGUUAAUUUUUUUUUUCAUCAUUCAAUUUUUUUUUAAAAUUAGUCUUUAUAAUUUUGUUUUUCAAUUCAGCUAUCCCGAUUUCAUUACCAGAACUACAUGUUUGAUGAAUUUUUUUUUGGGUCGCUGUUUUUUUUAUUUAAAAUUUUAUUAGUUUCAUCCUUGAACAUUUGGUUCCUUUAGAAUUGAUUAUUGUAAUCAUUCUAAAGACAUGCAUAAAUUGUUUUAAGGCCUUAAAGUGCAUCUUCAUUCAUCUCAGAAACUGAAAAAAUAAAAAAAAAUCAAAUAAAAGAAACCUAAUUAUUUUUCCUGGCCUUGAUCUCUUUUUCUUUGUCCUUCUAGGGUGGUGUAAUCACCAUCAACAAAAUGGCCUUUUAAGGAAGAAGGGGACACUGGACACCAUUAUAGCAGGUUGCAAUGUCAGGAUCUAGAGGAAAGUUUCUCUCCUCGCCUAUCUCUCCUCGGUCCUGUCUCCGAUCUUUACAUACAGGGACUGAAUUUUAAAAAUAGUGUGUUUGUUUUUUAAAUAGGUUUUGUGGUUUUGAUUUAAAAAAAUAAGUUUAGAAAAAGGUGUGGUUAACUAUGAUUAGUUAAAUUUAAAUACAUGUUUAGUAAAAAUUAUAGUUGAAGUUUAUGUGUAACAAAAAUAAUAUAUAAAAUAUUUGGUGGAAGUGUUGGUUGUUUGUUUUUUACUUGGAAAUACAUCAAAAUAAUUUUUUUUUAAUUAUUUUUUAUAUCAGCAUUGAUUUGAAAACAAAAAAUAUAUCAAUUUGAAGCAAGGAAAAAAAUAAAAAAAUUUAUUUUUUUCAAAAGCGUUUUGAAACGUAAAAAUAAAUAGGGUUUUAUGAACUCAAUUAAAAAAUCAUGUAAAAAUACUACAUAAAAAUUGCGUUUCAAACUCAAUUUUUUAUAAGUCCCGCAUUACAAACCAAGUUUGGUUUGUUAAUUACCAAACACUUUGCCAUGUUUGUUUCACCGCAAACAAAAAACCAGUGAAAAAAUCUAAAUAUCUAAAUAAUUUAUACAUGUUUUUUACUACACAUAAAAUUUAACUAUAAUUUUUAUUAAAUACAUAUUUAAAUUCAAUUAAUUACAAUUGACUCUAUUUAAAAAAAACUUAUUUUUUUAAAUUAAAAUCUCAAAAACUAUCUAAAAAAUAAAGAAACGAGUGAGGAUGUUGAUGAUGCCAAGCAAGUCAGUGUAAAGUGGAAAUCUUGACAAGAUGUUGUAGUCUUCAUAAAAAGUACAAUGCAGUACAAAACGAGAGGUGAAUGUUUGAGAUUGUUAUAAUUUUUAAUUUUAUAUGAUUUUUAAAAGUAUAUUUUAUUUUAAAAAUAUAUUAAAUUAAUAUUUUUUUAAUAAUUUUUUAUAAAACAUAUUUUUAAAAAUAAUUUCCAUCACAACACUAAAAACAUAUAAAUAUUUAUCAUAGUAACAAGAAGUGAUAAUAUUUGAUGUAAAAACGGCUGAAUGUAUAUGUCAUGUUUCGAGAAGCGUCCAUGAUUAUAUCAUUAUGAUCCCAAAAAGAAAAAUAUUAAAUAUUAGGCUACAAUAUUUAUCAUAAUUUUAAAACUCGGACCGGCCCGCAGGUCGACUCGGGUCUGGAACCGGUCCAAGUGGAGGCAAAAAUCCACUUGGAAAUUGACUCGGUGAAACCUGGUCGAUCUGCGGGUCGACCCGUGACCCGGAUCACCCGGUCAAACCCGGCUGACACUUGACUCUCUCUCUUAUAUAUAUAUAUAUAUAUAGACGUUAAAAGACCGUUUUGGCCUUUUAAAAGGCCAAAACGAUUAACAAUGACGAAGCAGAAUUGGGACACAUUGAUUACAGAGCAAACCCAAAUAACGAAAGAUUCCAUCACAGCCAAUGCAACUACAGUCUGGUCUAUAAGCUUUUGGCUUUCUUCUUUGCUCUUGCCAAUUAGGAUUUUUGCGUUUCGAGUGAUCGAUUUGCCCAUCAAAGUUGAAGUGAAGGGAGUGAGUUGGUUACAGAGAGAACUCCAUUCUAGGAUUUUAAGGGUUUUGAGUUGGAGUGAGCGAGCUGGAGGAGUGAGUUUCGGUGAGUGUGAAUCAAAGGGUUUUGUUAGGGCUUUGGUGGAGAAGGGUGGUUUGGUGGUGAAGAAGAGAAUCGGGGAUUUUUUAAUGGAUAAAUGAUUGGAGAGUUUCAUUAAUGAAGGAUUUUUGAGGGAGAGAAGGAAAGGGAUGGCUGUUUGGACUUAUCCUUAUUUCAGCUUAUUUUUUUUUUAGAGUUUAUGCCGUGUCAAUCAUCUGACUCGUGAUCCGAUCACUUGACUAGAUUGAUAUCCGGAUCGGGUUUCAAAACUAUGAUUUCUAUAAUUAGGUUACAUUUCGUUAUAGUCAUGUAUUUGAAAAAUAUUUAGUAUUAUAUAUAUAUAUAUAUAUAUAUAUAUAUGUUUUACUAAAAAUUAUUUUAAAAUUUUAAUUAAAAUAUAAUAUAUUUUAUAACUUUUUUUAAAAUGUAUUUUUUAAAAUCACAUAUCUAUCACAAAGAAAGAUCUUUUCAUACAUCCCAACUUUAGGCUAGAAGAUAUUCAGGGCCAUUCCACUACCCUAGCCAGAGUGUCUACGAGGGCCCCGCAGCAGCCCCGUAUGCAUCAACUUAUGGUAUCUCGCACGCUCAAAGCCCUUCUGCAAUCUCUCAACAACCCUACCAUCACUCUCAAAGCCCCAGUGCAAUUCCUCAACAACUCUACUCACAGCCAGCGGAGAACAUGAGUGCUGCCGGUUUCCGUGCCAGUGGUUCUUAUGGAAGCCAGACCGGUUACGGGGCAUAUGAUUACGGCUCUGCUGCACCCGUUACUUACCAACCUUCAUCCUACACUCAAUAAGAUGGGAGAAACCUAGCCAGAUGUUAAGAUGAAGACAAAGAUCUGGUGCUCGAUUGAUGUUCAAUUUUAUCAAAUUAUGUUUAAAUUAAGUUGAUUUAAAGCAAUUAGGCCUUAAGGAAUCAAAUUUGAUUAUGAAACAAAUAUGGGAGACUGAAAUUAAUGGGUAUAGUUAAAAAGACACAGUAGCUGUGGCAGCGUAUGCAAUCUUUUCUAGCGGCCAACUCACCCUUCCAUGGUAGCGAUCGAUGCAUCUUAGAAUUCUUUUUCUGCAAUGGUAACACAUGUGUCGCCUAAUUUUUGGUUAUUUUUAUUUUAAUUAUUUUAUUUACCGAAAAGGAUAAAAUGAUGAUAAAAAAAAUAAUAAUGAUGAAAAACAAGUAAAAUAAAGAAUAAAUUAAAAUUUAGGUUAAGGACAACAUGAUGGAAAGUUUUGGGGUUUAAUUAAACUUUGGAAUUAAUCUAAUUAAUCCAAUCAAGGGCUUAAUUGGAGAAUUGAUAAGUUUUAAGACUUAAUUGAGCUUGAAAUUAAUUUAAUUAAUCCAAUCAAUGUUUUAAUUGGAGAAUUGAUAAGUUUUUGGACUUAAUUGAGCUUGGAAUUAAUUUAAUGAAUGAAAUCAAGGACGUAAUUGAAGAAAUAUCAAAGUUUGGGGUUAAUUGGGGUACAAUUUGCAAGAAAUGAAAACGCAAGGACCAAUGUGUAAAUUGCAAUGAGAUGCAGGGGUUCAAUUAAAAUUUACCCAACGACUGGACUGCUAAAAUUCAAAAUGACAAGGAUCAAAAUGCAAUUAGCCAUGUCCAUCAACACUAUUCAUCUUUUCCUUCACUCGCCCGAACAAAAACGGAUGCAUCGCCAUUACUCCUGCAAUAACAGUCAAUUUAUUACCUGGUAACGGUGGCAUUCUGUGGCUAUAAAGCCAGAGAGAACAAAGGGGCUAGAGAAGGGGGAACCGAAAAGCCACUGGUGAUCAUAGAACCGAAAAGCCACUGGUGAUCAUAGAACCGUGAGCAGCAGUGGAAGAUCUUCAUCCCCAGCAGCUUCCUCCAUUUCAAGCAGCUCCUCGCCACGGUUAGUCUCCACCCCAACACCAGAUACUCCAAGAUCAGCCACCGUGGGUAGUGUUGCCACCAAUCACCUCACACAGCAUCGUGAACUCCAACAGCAAGGCAACUGUCAGCAGCCUUGCAACAACCAGCAUCUCCCUUCUGCACCGUGAGCUUCAAUCACUCCACCAGCAUCACUAGUUCCAUCGUGACUAGCAUCACCAGCAGCUUAUCUCAGCAAAUCAGUAGCUCAUCACGGUGGCGACUGAUUUUUGAAGAGAGGCUGAAGCGUUCCUCAGCAACUCUUCUAGACAGGGAGGAGAAGAACCCCCAUCUCUUUUGUUCAGACCUCCAUCACCAUCAACCAUCGCCUUUCAUCUUCCAACAAAUAGCGUAAGCAGCAGCACAGGAAGGGAGGACUAGAGAAGACGCAGAACAACAGAAACAGAGGGGGAAACAGUAGCAGUCGGGCAAGCCUCCGUCACCAUCGACAUCGUCUUCGCCUUCACCUCGCAGCUGCGCCACCCCAGCAGCUCUUCCUCACCGUGACAUCCAGCAGUCUUCCCUUGAAGCAGCCGUCUCCCUCAGCCUUGCCAGGUAAGUUCUUCAGCUUUCCUUCUUUUGGUAAAUUAAUUACCUGUUACUGUUGCAUGCAUGCGUGAGUGAUUCACGCAUGCAUGCAACAGUGGCAGCCGGGUCACUGGUUUGGACCAGUGACCCGAACUUUUUUUUUUUUUUUUACCAUGCAACAUCAAUAAACAGAAAAAUAAAAAAAAUAGAAAAAAUAAAAAAUGUGUAUGCAUGAAUAAAAAUAAUGUAAAUUUAUUGGUUUAUUCACUGAAACCAGAGUCAGGAAUAAAAAUACCGGUUUAAAUAUAUAUUAUUUUUAUUCGUUGUAUUUUUAUUUUAUUUAGCUAGAAAAAUAACAAAUAUGUGCAUGAAUAAAAAUAAAUUUAUUUUUAUUUAUUUAUUCACUGGCACUAAAAUAGGGAAUAAAAAAAUAUUGAUUUUUUUUUUCAUAGCUAUGAAUUUUUACCAACGCCAGAGUUGGAAUUAUUCGAGCUCGAAUAUUCACUGGCGUCAGAGUCAGGAAUAUUAUAAAACAAAUCAUCAUAGCAUAAACUAAUAAAUAUUUAGCAAUUUAAGACAUAAACCAGCAAUGCAGUCUGUCUUAGGCAGAACGUUUAAAGGGUGAUAAUAUCUUCCCUUUUAAGUAACUAAUCCCGAGCCAUAGAAUCUCUGUUGACCAGUUAGGGUUCCUAGUAACCAUAAUACUAGGUGACGACUCCUUAAACAAGAUAUUUUCUUUAAAAGAACCGGAUGCCAGAAAUCUGUUCUUUUUCCAUAAUUCAAGAGAAUUAUUUUGAGGGCCGAUGCGAUGUCGGGUGCGACAACAUGUAUUCUUAUUCUUAGUGUUGUGUUGUUGGUGUUAUUUAUUUUAUUUUUUUCCAUAUUUUCCCUCUUUUCUCUUUAAAAUUCAUGAUAGCCAUUUCAAAGUUCAUAGUUGUCUCCUUAUUUUAGUAUUAUUUCAAAUGCAAUCCUUUUUUUAUUACUAAGUUUUUGUUCUAGAUCUUUUUCUAAAAUGUAAAAUUAUUUUCAAUUUUAUCAUUCAAUAAAAAAUUAUAAGUUGUCCUUUCAAUUCAUUUUUAAAAUUUGGUCCAUAUUUUUUUAAUUCCUAUUUUUAGUUUUUGAUCCUAUAGUGAAAUUAAAUUUUCCUUCCAUUUUCAUCAUCUAAUUUGUUUUUAUUUCUAAUUCUAUUCUUAUUCUUUUGGUUUUUUUUUAGAGCCUUUUGUAAAAUUAAAUUUUUUAAAUUAAUUUUUCAGCAUGAGGUUAUUUAAGAAUUGGAUUCCAUGUGUUUUUAUUGAUGGGAUGAUUCAUGACAUGGACCAAGUCAUAUAUUUAAAAAAUUGACCCGGGUUAACAUUGUUCUUUUAUUUAUUGAGUUUUAUUUUUUUUAUACACGUUUUAUUUUUUAUUUUCAUCCUUUAAUUUUUUUUUAAUUGAGCUUUAUGAUUUUUUUUUUAAUUUUCUUUCAAUCAUGUUAUCCUUAUUCAUCUCAGAAACUGAAAAAAAAAAAAAUAAAUGAAACCUAAUUAUUUUUCGUGGCCUUGAUCUCUUUUUCUUUGUCUUUCUAGGGUGCUGUAAUCACCAUCAACAAAGUGGCCUUUUAAGGAAGAAGUGGCUCAAAUUGUUUCUAUAGUUGGGUUACAUUUUAAUAUAGUCAUGUAUUUGAAAAAGUAUUUAGUUAAUUAAUAUUUAUUACAUAUAUAUAUAUAUACACACACAUUACUAAAAAUUAUUUUAAAAUUUUAAUUAAAAUAUAAUAUAAUUUAUAAAUCCCAACUUUCGCAAGAAUAGUAAUCAUGAGUCCUGACAUGUCCUCUUCCUUGUUGAAUUCUACGGGCUUCGAAUGUCAUGUUCAUGCCGAUUUACUAGGGUAUUUCUUUAUGCAUGCAUGCAAAAUAAUAUAAUAAUUAAUUAUUAGUUGAUAGAGGCUGAUAAAUAAAUAAAAAUAUAUAGUUUAUUGAGUUUCCAAAACAAAAUAAUCGCAUCAUGCAUGUGGUCUUCAACCAAAUCUACUACUGUUUGCAAAAAUAGUGUUCAUGUAGAUUAAUAAGGCCAUGUUUGUUUCUCGGAAAGUAGUUUUUAGAAAAUUAUUUUCCAAACUUUCUUGUGUUUGUUUGUCAUUAGAAAAGUUGGUCAACGGAAAACACUUUCCAGUAAAAAAAAAAUUUUAACUUGGUUUUCAGGAAAGUAUUUUCCUUUUAGAUGUGCUUGUUUUCUGGAAAGUGGUUUCCGAGAAAUUACUUUCCAAACUUUCUUGUGUUUGUUUGCCAGUAGAAAAGUUGGUCAAUGAAAAAUACUUUCCAGUAAAAGGAAAAUUUGGCUUGGUUUUCAGAAAAGUGUUUUCCUGAAAAAUUUAAGGGGAAAACACUUUCCGGAAGUUGUGAAAAAUUUAGAAAUGUCAUUAUUUUCUGAUUAUAUCAAAUUUGAUCCUCAAACUUUUGAUUGCUAUAUAUAUUUUGUUUUGAAUAUUUAUUUUUCAAUUUCAUCUCUUAAAAUGUUAUUUUUAUAUUAGCGUUGGUCCUUAUUUUUAUAGUUGCUAUUUGCUUUUUCCUUAUUAUUUUUUUAUUGAAAUUUUUUAUUUAUCAAAUUUGAUCCUCAUUCUUUUUAUUGUUACUUAUUUUAUUUGAAAUAAUUUAUGAAAUGUUGAUUAUUAUUAUUUUAAUUUCUUCAUUUUUUUUUUUUAGAUUUGAUCCCUAUUAUUUUGAUUAUUAUUUAUUUUAUUUGAGAUAAUUUAUGAAAUUAUAUUUUUUUUUUCAAUUUCAUUCUCAUUCAACUUUUUAAUUUGUAAGAUUUGUUCCUCAUUAUUUUAAUAAACUUGAGAAAAAUAAAAUAUUAAUAAGUUAUUUUCUAGCUCAUUUUCCAUGACAUAACCAAACACUGGAAAGUGUUUUCCAACUCAUUUUCCAUUACACUACCAAACAUCGGAAAAUACUUUAUCGGAAUUCACUUUCUCCGGAAUUCACUUUUCAAAAGGAAAACUUUCCAGCAAACAAACGGAGCCUAAGUACUAUUUAUUGAAACAAAGUAAUGAUAUUUUGCUUUUCUUGUAAAAGAAUUUGAACAAGUUAUUUAAGAUAGUUUCACAAGUUUCAUUUGUUAUUAUCGGGUCAAAUUAAUAAGUGUUUUUGCAUUUUAAAAUUAUAGUGAAAUAAUUAAAAUAUUCUUAUAUGUAAAAAAUUAUAAAUUGAUGUCCAAGAACUUUUUAGUAUUUUCACAUUAGUUUUUUCGUUAUUAUUAGGUUAGUUGAAGGAAAAUUUGGUAUUUUAAUAAAUAUAAAAUAUUAUUUAAAAACAAAAAACGGCUAGCCUAUGUAAUGCUUGUGCUAGCGUAUGGGUGGUGCUAGCUCCAUUCGGGUGGCAUCUCUCGACGACCGAACACUAGCUUUUGCCAUGUUAUUAAUUGAAAGCAUUGCAAUAUAAUCUUCCUUUAAGAACGGCACGUUGUGUUAUUGGGGUGGUUAUGUGAUGUUGGUGACCUUUUUUUCUUCUCAUCCCACUUUAGUCUUUCCUCCUUUUAAAAAUCAUGUUGGUCAUGUGAAAUUUUAAAGUUGUCCUUUAAUUUAUUGAGAUGUCAAAUUCAUUAUUAUUUUUUUUGAUAUUUUUUUUUUUGUUCUUGGUUAUUUUGUGAAAUUUUUAGUUAUUUUUAAUUUUAUCCUUCAAUCUCAAUUUGUGAUACAUUAUAUUUUUUUCAAUUUAGUCCUUAUUCUUUUGAUAUUUUUAUUUUUUGAGUCCUUUUAUAAAAUUGAAUUUUCUUUUCAAUUUCAUCCUUCAAUUAAAAAUAAAAUUUAUUUUUUAUUUUAAUUUUAAUUUGCAUUCCUUCAAGUACCCUUUUUUUUAAUCUCUCUGUAUAAUUGAUUUUUCUUUUUUUCAUUUUUAAAUUUUAUCAAAAACGCACGCGAUUCGUUGUUGUCAAACUAUCUAGUGCUAAGAAUUCGAAAGUCAAGUACCCUGCAAUAUGAAAGAACUCUGAAAACACACACCAGAGACAUGCAUGUUCUGCUUUAUAUAUAACCAAAGUCGUUACAAGAAAGAAGAGAAAGUGCUUAUCUAUUUGUUACAAGAGAUACAAAUUACAUGAGAUUUAAAUACAAGAUAAAAUGCCCUCCCGUUUGCAAGCUAUCCAGUUUGAACUGGAUGUGAUCCUAUUCUCUACCCAUAAAAAUAAUACUGAAUUUAAAGGGAUUUGCAGUCAGGACAGACAAUAAUGAUUUUCCAGCUGCAAGCAUCAAUCUAUAGGAAAAACCUAAUUGAUAAUAAUAAAAAAAGGCUUGGAAUGUGAUGAUGGUUAGGAAAAAUCCAGUACGUUCGUGCACCGUGAUUGUCAGCAUGAAUGUAAAUGCUAAACCCAUGCAGAAAAGGGAGUAGAAAUUAAAAUAUGUCGCCAUCUCCAUGCAUAUUGUUACAUAAUUGGUACCACCUAAUGAUAUCUGACAAAGGAUUAUAGCGGCGAUGAGGGAGAGAUUCAUAGCUAGCAUGUCGAAAAAAACAUAAGCUCUCAUCAGAUUUUUUGAACUACCACUGCUAAGAUCACGACCUGAUCCAGGCACAGUGAUAGCACCAGCGAAGGUUACUCCAACUACCAGUACUGCCACCACGAGAAGAUUCCCUACCCCUCUGUUCAGUUGCUCCGUCGUUAACGUCGUUCUUGGUAAAUCAAAGAUAGGACUGAUGCAAGGCUCAGGCAUAUCAUCUGCCUCCUCCAAAACUUUAAAUACCUUACGCUGAACAACAAAGUGUUUAUUAGAAAAUAUAUGGUAAACAAAUUAAUUAUAUAAAGCAUCAUGACAAUGCUAGCUUAAUGUCCCAUAAUAACGAAGAAGGAAUUCAUCGCUAUAUAUUUAGUAGAUCAGCGAGGCAUUCCAUAUUUUUGAGCAAGUAAAGAACUUUAUUUCCACUUUGGAUUAAUCAAAUUUAAGGUAAUUGAAAGAAAUCUAUCAUUCCCUUUUCUAUAAAGUUGCAACAUGGACAGAAUGUGGAUGUGAAAGUUUUUGCUAUACUAGAAUGUAUUUACUUCAAUCACCUGAUUAGCUUCUUACGUGGACCAAAGCAACUAGAAUAUAAUUUGACUUGGAUGCGAAUGGUUCUUUAAAUGGCUAACCAAAACCCUCUGGUAUUGAUGAAUAUAACAGAAUUAAAUGUGACUGAGGUUUUGACAAUUAAAAAAUCUUUUUAAAUGAGUAUUGAUUGUUCCUAUGCAAUUACUAGAAGCUGGAUUGUGGAGUAUAAUGCCAUUACUAGAAGCUUAUUGGCUAUAAGAGAUAAUUAAUGAAGUUAUCUUUAUUGGCAUAUGGAAAAAACUAGAGAGUAUUUAUGCUUCCAGACCCAUGACUAAUCGUUUUCUUUUGAAGUGAGAUUUGUACUCUUGAGGAUGGAUGAAGGAAUGUGUAUACACAAGAGUUAAAAGGUUGACAACACAAGUAGUCAAUAUUAGAAAAAAAAUUGAGGAUAAAGAGCGAAACCUCAUUCUACAAGCCAUUGGUGCAAACAAUACUAGUUAAAAGGAAAUAACUUUAGGUUUAAAUGAUGCAGCUACAAUCUUAUUGGAGAAUGAUAGGUUUUGAAGGUAGAAAACAAUGUCAAAAGUUAACGAGGCAUUGGUUAUGGGAGGUGGUCCUGUAAUUUACCAUGAAAGAUGGGAGCAAAGAUGAUGAUGUUAUCAUGGAUCAUAAAUAUUGUAAAAAGGUUUUGAAAAAUUCAUGGAUUGUAGAUUUUGCAUGCUGCUUUCAUAGUUAUUUAAAGAAAUAAUGUUUUGAUACUUACAAAGAAAAUGAUGGAGAUUCUAUGUUGCUAGAAUUGAUAAUGUUAAAAUUAAGAUAUAUAAUGGAGCAAUGAAAACCCUUUGUGAUGCUAGGACUUAGGCACAUGCAAAGACUUACAAGAAAGAAAGUUUGUGAAACUGAAAAUGUUACCAUUUUGAGAACUUCUACUUCCUGCGAUUUGUUCCAUACACCUCUCGCAGCAUCAUCCUCAUGCUUGUUCUGAGCAAGGACAAGCAAAGACAGUAUUAAUUUGUAAGUAUACAUUCGAAACUGAAUUUGAAUGUAUUUUCUUGAAAUCAGUUUUUGUAAUGUUAAAGGUUGUCCUUUUCAUUAUCAUUUUUUGCAAGUAUAUAUAUAUGAUGAUUAAUUUGGAGUAUGAUCCCCCGUGAUGUUCAAGAGCAAUUGCAAGCCCAUUAAUUGACUUUGGUGCAUAAGGUCAGUUUUUCGAAAAGGCUCAGCAUAUAAGCAUACCAUUCCAUCUGACUUUGGUGCUUCAAAGCGUCCGCCUCGCAAUAAUUUCGCAACAACACCAGAUGGUUUCAACUUUUCAUUAUUAACAAUCAUUUUAUCCACCCGCAUGUCACUCACUAGUGCAUGCAUUAUCUUCGAACGGCAAUACAUUGCAGCCAAGUGCAAAGGUGUAUUUCCAUCGUAAUCCUUCUCAUUUAUAAGAGCUUCCAGAUCUCGAUUUCUCAAUAUUUCAUCCACUAUUUUCAUCUGUCCACUCCCCGCUGCAACGUGAAGAAUAUUCUGUCCUUUUUCGUUGAGAAAAUCCAUUGGAUCGAACCAAUAAGUAAGUAGUUCGUGUACUACUUUAAGAUGGCCCUUCUGGCAUGCAACAUGGAUGGGUAAGUUGCCUUCGUCGUUUGUUUGUGAUGCGGCAACAGGACAUCGACUAACCAGGAGUCUUGCUCCAGAAAGGAAGUCCAUUGAUGCUGCAAGAUGAAGGAGAUUUCCCCCUUUUAUGUCCUCGGGAAGCAUUAUAUCCGGCUUGCCGACCGCUAGUUUUUCUAGUGCAGCAUAAUUUAAAAAUUAGAUAAUCAAUACAAAAAUCACAAAAUGCAUGGAAAUUAAUAACUUGAAUUUUAUGCUUUACAUAAAAUGACAUGAUGAAGAAUCAGUUUUAAUGAGACCAAUAAUUAUAAGUGUAACAUGUUAUUUUUCACGUCGAAAUGAUGAUAACAUGUAAUUACCUAAAUUUCCUUCCGGCAUAGCUUCUAUAAAAGAAGCAAGCAUCUCCUCGUCGCAACUCUCUACUGCCAAGUACAAGGGAGACUUGUCUUCCUUGUUCUUGAGGUAGGAAACUUCUAGGUCUUCAUUAACGAGGAAACGGGCCACCUCUCGGCAACCCUUGAUGACUGCAUCGUGCAAAGGGGUGUUUCCUUUAUUAUUCUUCAUCCUCAGCAAGCUAGCAAGUUCAAGUGUUUUAUGAGGAUCGAUUUUCACAUGCUCGACGAGAUUUUUAAUUGUGUCAGACCGUCCAGCCCUGGCAGCCAGAUGAAGAGCAUUAUCACCCAGGAAAUUUUUCCUGGUGAUUAGGAGGGGGAAGUGAUGACACAGUAGCUGUAUCACACCUUCGCUUCCAUGGCUUGCUGCCACAUGAAGCAGUGAAUUUCCAGAGGCAGCAACAUGUUUGAAAAUCAUAUCGAGCACUUCCUCUGAUGAAACAUGUUCCAGUUUAUCGGACAAGAGACCAAACAAGGCAUUGAAGUUGUCUUCCUUUGCAUAGGUAUAAAGCUCCUUCUUCAGUAUUUUAUUUGGCUCAGAAAAACCAUACUCUGCAUUCCGAACUGGGAAUUUAGCUGCCUUCCAUCGUUCAAGCUCCAUUUGUACUGGUCUCGGCAUAUCUAUUUGUAAGUGCUCCAUCUCUUCUUGAGUGACUUAACUUUGCUGCGGUUGUAUCUGUGGUAAUUACAUGUCUUGUUAUUUGGCCAAGCAAACUAAAGAAUUCAUAGAAAACAUGAAUGCAAGAGAUAUGCUAUUUAAAGGAUUGGUGAGAGAAACGUACAUUAGCUACAUAAUUUUUCUCAAUACAAUUAUUUAGGAGCAUAUAUAUAAAUGUUUAAAUUCAAGUCAAAAUCAAGCUGCUAAAACAUUAGUGUAUUUAAAAAUGUGGUUGCAGUUAUUUUUUAAAAUAUUUUUUAUUUAAAAAUAUAUUAAUUUUAAUAUCAGCAUAUCAAAUGAUCUAAAAAAAUAAAAAAUAUAUAUUAAUUUAAAGUUAAAAAAAAUUUAAAAAUCAAUUUUUUCUAAAAUAUUUUUAAAAUAAAAAACAAUUAGUAUCAAAGUCAAGUUAAUGCCAUUUUUUUAUAUCCAAGUCCAAGAAUAACUAUGGGUUUGUGUAUUGUAUUUAUAAAUAAAAUAAUAUUUUAUGACUUUUAAUAUAUUUUCUAACAGUAUUAUAUAAACAAAUAAAUUAUAUGCAUAAAUAUAUCAAAUUGAUAUAAAUUUGAUUAGCGCAAAUAACUGAUGCCAGUUUGUUAAGAAUCUUAAAAAAUAAUUCUCAUAAUAUAAAGGAGGUUUAGCCAAUUACCUAUGCCACAGGCACGCACGCUGGUCGACUAGUUACUGUCUUCCUCUGCCUUCACCUCUGUUCUUGCUUUUCUCUGAUCGGUUACUCCCCUGGUCGUCCUCCUCUUUGCCCAGGGAUCAGUGUUAUAAACUGUGAAUGUUUUUGUCUGUAUCGCGAAUUACUGUAGAAAUGUUUUUCUCGUGUAUUGUACUGUUUUGGGUUUGACAAUUGCUAAAAGCACUGUAGUUAGGGAGACAUAAU
This 42330-nucleotide long non-coding RNA is filed under the name Populus tremula. RNAcentral's name for it is "long non-coding RNA (PTRE_LNC001521)". Lineage: Eukaryota; Viridiplantae; Streptophyta; Magnoliopsida; Malpighiales; Salicaceae. The record is from RNAcentral.